RNAcentral lists this ribosomal RNA (292 nucleotides) under uncultured bacterium. Its description in RNAcentral is "partial 16S ribosomal RNA". It matches the Rfam family "Bacterial small subunit ribosomal RNA", at positions 505 to 796 of the family's 1533-position model. The record is from RNAcentral.
GUGUCAGCAGCCGCGGUAAUACAGAGGGUGCGAGCGUUGUCCGGAAUCACUGGGCGUAAAGGGCGCGUAGGCGGUUCCCUAAGUGUGUGGUGAAAGCUCGGGGCUCAACCCCGAGUCGGCCGUGCAAACUGGGGAACUUGAGCAUGUCAGAGGCAGGCGGAAUUCCGGGUGUAGCGGUGGAAUGCGUAGAGAUCCGGAAGAACACCGGUGGCGAAGGCGGCCUGCUGGGACAUGGCUGACGCUGAGGCGCGACAGCGUGGGGAGCAAACAGGAUUAGAAACCCGCGUAGUCC